This 200-nucleotide long non-coding RNA is filed under the name Bos indicus x Bos taurus (hybrid cattle). Its description in RNAcentral is "lncRNA (ENSBIXG00000020897.1)". Lineage: Eukaryota; Metazoa; Chordata; Mammalia; Artiodactyla; Bovidae. The record is from RNAcentral.
AUAAAGUCAUGUUGCCAUGAGCACCGCUUGUUAGUGCCAUGUGUUGGGAAUGAGACACACUGGAAGCAGAAUCAAACAGCAGCAGAUUGCACAUUCCUUGGAAGAACAGGUCUCCUUUAUUGUCGACUGUCAAGUUCUUUACAAGGCGCUUUCUGUGUGUGAUCUCAGUACCUCUUCACAAUAGCUCUUUCUGGGAGACA